This 390-nucleotide ribosomal RNA is filed under the name Octopus vulgaris (common octopus). RNAcentral's name for it is "partial 16S ribosomal RNA". It matches the Rfam family "Bacterial large subunit ribosomal RNA", at positions 1946 to 2539 of the family's 2925-position model. The record is from RNAcentral. Lineage: Eukaryota; Metazoa; Mollusca; Cephalopoda; Octopoda; Octopodidae.
CUGUACUAAGGUAGCAUAAUAAUUUGCCCUAUAAAUUGGGGCUAGAAUGAAUGGUUUGACGAGAAUUUAACUGUCUCUAUUUUAUUUAUUAGAAAUUAAUUUUUAUAGUGAAAAAGCUUUAAUUAUUUAAAGGGACGAAAAGACCCUAUUGAGCUUUUGUUAUUAUAUAGAUAUAUAUGUAUAUAUAUAAUUUAUUUGUAAAUAACUUUGGUUGGGGUGAUCAAGGAAUAAAAUUAAUUUAAAGUAUUGUAUUAACUUCCUUAAUUUUGAGUUUAGUUGAAGAAUAAACCAAGUUUUUUGCUUAGAAGAUAAGUUACCAUAGGGAUAACAGCGUAAUUUUUUUUGAGAGUUCAUAUUGAAAAAAGAGAUUGCGACCUCGAUGUUGGAUUA